RNAcentral lists this ribosomal RNA (431 nucleotides) under uncultured bacterium. Its description in RNAcentral is "partial 16S ribosomal RNA". It matches the Rfam family "Bacterial small subunit ribosomal RNA", at positions 29 to 507 of the family's 1533-position model. The record is from RNAcentral.
AACGAACGCUGGCGGCAGGCUUAACACAUGCAAGUCGAACGCCCCGCAAGGGGAGUGGCAGACGGGUGAGUAACGCGUGGGAACAUACCCUUUUCUACGGAAUAGCUCUGGGAAACUGGAAUUAAUACCGUAUACGCCCUACGGGGGAAAGAUUUAUCGGGGAAGGAUUGGCCCGCGUUGGAUUAGCUAGUUGGUGGGGUAAAGGCCUACCAAGGCGACGAUCCAUAGCUGGUCUGAGAGGAUGAUCAGCCACAUUGGGACUGAGACACGGCCCAAACUCCUACGGGAGGCAGCAGUGGGGAAUAUUGGACAAUGGGCGCAAGCCUGAUCCAGCCAUGCCGCGUGAGUGAUGAAGGCCUUAGGGUUGUAAAGCUCUUUCACCGAUGAAGAUAAUGACGGUAGUCGGAGGAGAAGCCCCGGCUAACUUCGUG